GAAAAUCUGACCCAUUGCUGGAUUUCUGCACCAGACAGGAUAAUCUGGCACGCUCUAAGAUGACACUGCUGCUCCACCUCGUCCUCUUCCCCUCCCCACCUUCCAUUCCAAGUCAGGGUGCAGAGUGAGCACAAAUGAGAGACACUUUGAAAAAUAAGCUGCUCAUUUGGGACUGAGUGGAUUCAGAUGGUUGGCCAGCGCUCAAAGGCGCAGAGAAAAGGGGCGGUUGGGUCAGCUUAUUAUUUCAGUGGAUACAAGGCGCUGAUGUUUUCCCUCAUAUGGCAUUUUCUCAAUCAAAAGGAUUCAGCAAUUAGAAGGCAAGCCCAGAUCUAUAGAUCCCUCUCCAUUUUCUCAGUCUUAGGCAUAACAUGGAGAACGACUGAGAAAUUACUUAUAUUUAGUUUAAAUGCAAUUCUGUGUCAGCAUUAGCAGCAGAAACAAAUUAUUUUUAGAUCAUUUUUACAGAUUCUGAGCUCACAUUUUUAUUCCUACUGUGCUUUGACUGACAGGUCAACAACAAUCAGACUGUCGGUUUUCUGUUUUGGUUGAUAAUUUUAUUUUCAGCUGUCUGAAGUUUUGCCAGUUGGUGUGUUUGCUAAAGUGACUUAACAGUCAUUCAUUCAUUGGGAAAAAGCAAAGUAUUUAAAACUUUUGCCUUUUCUGACAGAAUUUCUUCCAAAUCUAUGUGUGAUUUCUGGUGUAUUAACAAAGGAGAAACUAUUGUUCAGCAAUCUGUUCUCUAUAGAAGAAUUAUACUGAAAUUAUCUUGUCUUUUGCAUUGAAUUAAAAAUCAUUUAUCUAGAUAAAGUUGAUCUGCACAGCUACAUCCAAUGGUCAGAAUUGUGAUGCUUUUCAUUUUUUUUUUUUAAGAGUAAUUUGGCAGGGAGUGUCUAAAUGGUUGAAAUAUGUCUAUAUAAAAUAGCACAAAUUAUGAAAAUUAACAGUACAAGAUAGAAAACAAAAACAAUGCACAAGCUAUUUUAUGAGUGUACAGAAACGCUUGGAGUAGCCUCAGACUCAGUGUGUGUAGCAAAGAGAACACAGUUACCUCAAGGCCUCAGGCCACAAGUUAACGUGUCAGUGGCCUGCAUCUGUGCAUGCCGUGACAGGCUGUGGAUUCAUCCCAAACACAAAUGCAAAGCUAAAAAUCUCAAUUUCACUUUGCAGAGAGUCUGAAAGUAGAGCAUGCAAACAACUUUACUGUAUUUUGUUGUACAAUACACAGGAGAGGUUUUGAAGAGCAUAUGUGAACAUAUUUCAUUAGUUGUGUUGUGAAACUGCAUGUGUAGGUCUGAAUGCUGCUGCCUCUCAGAUCCGGACCGAUGAUGGGCUGAAGGGUCAGUCCAGGUCUAAAAGCAUCAGUGCUUAUAUCAAUAUGUGCUGAAUGGGAAUGAUUAACAUCCAGAGAAACGAAAGACAAAAGCCAGAUCUUUAGAUUUUGAUAUUUACACUAUCUUUUGAACUACAAAGUUGAGCUUAGUCAUCUUGUAAAAUUAUAACAAAAGUUUUGGUCUUUCACUUGUUCAGACUAUUUCUACAAGCAGAAUGAAUGUAAGUGAAACCGUGUAGAACCGCUGCGGUUUCUUUUGAACAAGUUAGGAUACGUUUUGUUUGUCCUGUAAAGAGAUGUAGGUUUUAAAAUGUUAACUGAGGCCUGUAGAGUUAGAGAUGGCGCUCUUGGGGGCGGGGGUGUCCAUACCUGGGUGGUAUGUAAUUUCUCUAAAUUCAACAAUUUAAUUCAAUUAAUUUAUUUAGCACCAACAAAUGUCAUUUCAUGCUACUUUACAAGAAAAGCUGGUCUAUUUCACAUCCCCUUUUAAACUAAUAGGUAAUUAAAAUAAAGCAAUGCCAUGCCGUAGUUCAAAGAAAAAAACAACAUGAGAAGUAAGGUAUCAAAGCUAACAUUUUAUGUUAUUUUGUUCUCUAUCACUUGCCUUUCAUCCCUUUCUCUUUCCAUUACUCUCUCCUCUCUUUCCCUUCAGCUAUCCCCAGCAUAUACAAACAGGUCCUACCACAAUAGUGAAGCGUGCGUACAUGAUUAAAUGGUGCUCUGGGACCAGGAGAAAUAACUGUGGUCGGUGGUUUGGCCAGAGGCCGGGGUUUGAGGCAAGAGGACAGCCGAUUGCUUUUAAUCACUGAAAGAGGAGGUAGAUAAUGGCUACCAUACACCAACGCUGCUGACUUUGUUUUUCCUCCAUUAGUCCACUAGAACAACUUCUCCAUCAGCACCAGCAGCAAGCUCUGCUUUUCCUUUUUCUUCUUUGUCAAUAUCUGAGAUGGCAAAACCAAUCUUAAACCUGUGAGAUAGGAUGUUCAUUUUUCAGAAGAACUGAAAAAUGAACGAACGCCACAAACUGCUGUCUGCUUUCACCCCAACUAUUCUCUAGUAAAUUAUUAAUGAAAGAAUGACGCCGGUUAAUUUUAAAUUAGAAUGAAUGGAACGUGGAAAUUCUAACCGAUUCCCUGAAUGUGCUGCGAACCUCUUGAAACUUUUUUCAAACUUCCCAGAGGAAAAAAAAAAAAAGAAAGAAAAAUGUGGAUCAGACCAAACAGGAAAUUUAACACUCUUGUAUUUUGUUGUAAUUUCCACUAAAGCAGGCUUGGCUCUGUCUGCAUGCCUCUGAUGUUAAAGCACAAACCACUGAGUCUGGUGUAGGUUACAGUCAUUGGGGGAUUUGUUUUAACAGCGCUUCUCUAGUCUUUUUAUUAACCACAUCAGGGUCUCACCAAACACCCAAAACAGGAGUUACAAGUCUUAACUUCCACCCGAGUACAUCAGCUAACAGGUGUGUCGAGUGGACCACAAAGGGUUUCAUCUGUGCUCUCUGUCUUUUAUUGUAUAUUCCUUUUUUUUAUUUAUUUUUUCCAGACUAAACAGCACCGAUGCUCUGUUCUCAUCUGGGAGAAAUAAACUGGUCCUCUUACCGAAUGUGAUUUAUUUUCAGCAGUUUAAGAGAAUGUGAGUCAAGGAUUGAGAAAGGAUGAAACGGCGAUGAAGUGUUGAAUCACUCCACGUUAGAAGGGAUGAAAAUAUACGACGGGAGUGAUUUAAACACAGAAGGGAGUUUGCACAGUGGGAGGUUCACUUUCCACUUGGGCCCGCCUGGCUGGAGGCCCUCGCUCCGGGACAGCCGGAUUGCUUUCCUGGCACCGCUGUCCUCAGCGCUGGCUGCCAGGCCGGCACUGGCAGAACCCUAAAAGCUGGGGCCCUGAUGCAUCUCUUACAGUUUACAGGAAUGUGUCAGCAGUAAUCUCUUGGCGGCCAUCUUUGGAAAUUCAGCCCGACGCAGACAUGAAAGCGCUGUGAUGCUCUGAGGAGAAAAGAGCCAGCUCUAAUUGAAUCUAUUUAAAGCAGCUGUUUUCGCGGCUCUGUGACUCGGCUGCGGCCUCAAAUCCUCCCUACUGACUUCAUCGGCCGUGCUGGGUGUCGAUUUAUUGGAAAAAUCAUCUUUUUUAAGUAAACAGAGGUGGCCAAGACCAGGCUUUAAUCAUGCUCCGAGAGCUGCCCAGAGAGGUCGUUUGGUUUCAAUUAGGUGAGCGUAACUUGGCUAAUCUCUCCCUCAUCCCUCAGUCUUUUCACAGCCGCUGCCAGCCAGCAUUGCCAGUGUAGUGCGUGAAAUCGAAUUUGAACACUGACCCUCUGGAAAACGGGAACUCAUGAAACGGAGGGCGUAAUGGUAGCUUUAAAGAGGGGGGCGUCAUGCUUUCAGCAUUGGCUGCUGGGGAUGCGUGCACGGAACAACAUGCUCCGGCUUUACCGCAUGGUUAGCUGUAAUCCACCUCUGUACAGGCGCCAAGCUCUGCCUCUUUAUACAGAUGACUACGGUGUUGUGGAGAACAUGAGAAGGUCCCUGGACUCUGCAUGAGGGGUUUUCCUCUGAACUCCAAAGCUUGAAAUUGUCCUGUUUUCCAUCUUUUGUAAAGGGUUUGUGAAAUGUAAAGAGAAAAAGUUUUCAAUUCGUUAUUCCCUCCCACCACCCCUGACUUGGAAAGCCUUUGAAGCAGUUGUUACCUCAGAACCUCAUCAAAUCCUCACCUAUGAUUUGGACCUGCCUCACGGCACAACACUGGAGUCGCAAGCCCCGUUGUUUCCAGGUCAUGUGUUUCUUGUGGAGCCGAGGGUCAAUCGAUCGUUUUGAUUCAUGUCGGCUGCCAAUCCCAGAUCAGAGGUGGCCCGUGGCAUUACCAAAGGUUGUGGCUGGAACUCAUCCCAGUUUUGUUUCAUGUCAAGGUUUUUGCCAUUUCAAGUCAAACCAAAAGUUGCCCAUUGGAUUUUUUUUAUUAUGUCCCAUCAAAAAAAAAAAAAAAAAAAAAAAAAAAGCACGGUCUGGUCUCAACAGACUGUUGUGAUAUCAUUUAAAACAGAAAUUCGGGGAUUUUUUCUGAACUUUUUUUUCUUCAGGUACCUAAUAACCAAAUAAAUAAAACUAUAUUCUUUUUCUUUGUCAACGUAGAUGACCUGUCUCAGUUCUACGUUUACAGAAGACCAUAUAGAUAAAUGAUAGAUUUAAGUCUUUCUUUUUUUAUUCUAUUGCAUUUCCAUUGUUCUUCCACAUGAACUUCCCUGCUGGCUUCUGUCUGCAGUAACAUCUCAAUUCAUCUCUCAGCUCCAAACCUCCUUUACCACCACAAACCAAAUUUCCAAAUUGCUGCAGAUGAAGCUUUAAUGCAUCUAUCGUCUCUCCUGCUCCAUGCUGUCAUCAAGACAUCAAUAUAAUUCAACUGCCUUCUGUUUUAA
Molecule: long non-coding RNA, 4738 nt
Organism: Poecilia reticulata (guppy)
Lineage: Eukaryota; Metazoa; Chordata; Actinopteri; Cyprinodontiformes; Poeciliidae
Source: RefSeq, a predicted model, not a curated record